GAUGAACGCUAGCUACAGGCUUAACACAUGCAAGUCGCGGGGCAGCAUGGGGGUUGCUUGCAAUCCCCGAUGGCGACCGGCGCACGGGUGAGUAACGCGUAUCCAACCUGCCCUUCACCACGGGAUAACCCGGCGAAAGUCGGACUAAUACCGUAUGUUGUCCAUUGACGGCAUCCGAUUUGGACGAAAGGUUUGGCGGGGAAGGAUGGGGAUGCGUCCGAUUAGCUGGACGGCGGGGUGACGGCCCACCGUGGCGACGAUCGGUAGGGGUUCUGAGAGGGAGGUCCCCCACACUGGAACUGAGACACGGUCCAGACUCCUACGGGAGGCAGCAGUGAGGAAUAUUGGUCAAUGGGCGUAAGCCUGAACCAGCCAAGUAGCGUGCAGGAUGACGGCCCUAUGGGUUGUAAACUGCUUUUAUGCGGGGAUAAAGUGGCCCACGUGUGGGUUUUUGCAGGUACCGCAUGAAUAAGGACCGGCUAAUUCCGU
RNAcentral lists this ribosomal RNA (489 nucleotides) under uncultured bacterium. Its description in RNAcentral is "partial 16S ribosomal RNA". It matches the Rfam family "Bacterial small subunit ribosomal RNA", at positions 28 to 506 of the family's 1533-position model. The record is from RNAcentral.